AGUGAACGCUGGCGGUAGGCCUAACACAUGCAAGUCGAACGGCAGCACAGUAAGAGCUUGCUCUUACGGGUGGCGAGUGGCGGACGGGUGAGGAAUACAUCGGAAUCUACUUUUUCGUGGGGGAUAACGUAGGGAAACUUACGCUAAUACCGCAUACGACCUACGGGUGAAAGCAGGGGAUCUUCGGACCUUGCGCGAUUGAAUGAGCCGAUGUCGGAUUAGCUAGUUGGCGGGGUAAAGGCCCACCAAGGCGACGAUCCGUAGCUGGUCUGAGAGGAUGAACAGCGACACUGGAACUGAGACACGGUCCAGACUCCUACGGGAGGCAGCGUUGGGGAAUAUUGGACAAUGGGCGCAAGCCUGAUCCAGCCAUACCGCGUGGGUGAAGAAGGCCUUCGGGUUGUAAAGCCCUUUUGUUGGGAAAGAAAAGCAGCAGGUUAAAACCCCGCUGUUCUGACGGUACCCAAAGAAUAAGCACCGGCUAACUUCGUG
This 492-nucleotide ribosomal RNA is filed under the name uncultured bacterium. Its description in RNAcentral is "partial 16S ribosomal RNA". It matches the Rfam family "Bacterial small subunit ribosomal RNA", at positions 29 to 507 of the family's 1533-position model. The record is from RNAcentral.